Molecule: ribosomal RNA, 466 nt
Filed under: Necrosciinae sp. 4 SB-2021
Lineage: Eukaryota; Metazoa; Arthropoda; Insecta; Phasmatodea; Lonchodidae
Description: partial large subunit ribosomal RNA
Rfam family: Bacterial large subunit ribosomal RNA
Source: RNAcentral
GCCGCGGUAUUUUGACUGUGCAAAGGUAGCAUAAUAAUUAGUUCAUUAAUUGUGGACUUGUAUGAAUGGUUAGACGAAAUAUUAACUGUCUCUUAUUUAAUUUUAGAAUUUGAAUUUUAAGUUAAAAUGCUUAAAUUUAAUUAUAGGACGAUAAGACCCUAUAGAUCUUUAUUUUAAAAUAUUUUAUUUGUUUUUGUUUUUGUUUUAUUAAUUUAUUUUAUUUUUUUGUUGGGGUGAUAUAGGAAUAUAAAAAACUUUUUAUAAUUGAAUUCAAUUAUUUUUGUAUAGGUGACCUUUUAUUAUUGUUAAAAGAUAUAGAUACCUUAGGGAUAACAGCGUAAUUUUAAUUGAGAGUUCAUAUUGACAUUAUAGAUUGCGACCUCGAUGUUGGAUUAAGAGUAUAUUUUGGUGUAGGUGCUUUAAUAUUAAGUCUGUUCGACUUUUAAAUUCUUACAUGAUCUGAGUU